ACCUGAGCUCCGGUGCCUUCUGAGCUGAUAUCAGUUGUAGUAAAUCACUGGCUCAGUUCAGCAGGAACAGGAGUGUGGCC
Molecule: microRNA precursor, 80 nt
Filed under: Danio rerio (zebrafish)
Lineage: Eukaryota; Metazoa; Chordata; Actinopteri; Cypriniformes; Danionidae
Description: microRNA dre-mir-24 precursor (dre-mir-24-1)
Gene: dre-mir-24-1
Rfam family: mir-24 microRNA precursor family (bases 6-73)
About the family: This family represents the microRNA (miRNA) mir-24 family. miRNAs are transcribed as ~70nt precursors (modelled here) and subsequently processed by the Dicer enzyme to give a ~22nt product. In this case the mature sequence comes from the 3' arm of the precursor.
Source: miRBase by way of RNAcentral